CAACGCAUGAGAUCCCCUUGCGCCGCAUGUUGGCGCAUCUUGAUCACAGGUCACGUGUCAAAGCGAUUCGCGCACAAGGUCGCGUGCCACCGACGCGCCGGUUUUGCGCAUCUAUUGCUUUCUUAUCCACGAAGUGGCCCGCCAGGACAUUUGCAUUUGCCCGCCGCAAAAACCAUAGUUGGAACUUUUGAAAAUCCAUUGGCCAGCCUUGGUUUACAGUAUUUGCCGUGCCUUGGAGUCCAUGAGUUCUGCGUUGAUGUGUUACCCUGAAUCGUAGAAUAAUAUUUUAAAAUUCAAACUGAACUCUUAAAAUCUCCCCGAGAUGUCGCUAGAAUGUCCGUUAAAACUAAAAAUAUUCCCGCGAUCAUAUCGUUGUUGUAAUGUUUUGUACACAUGGGCCAUCGCAGCGGAUUUUAUCAACGCACGUCCACUUUAUCUCAUUUCGCGCUUGAAAUGUUAGGCAAAAUUUAUUUAAAAUAAUAAAUGUAAAGAAUAUGUGAA
This is a long non-coding RNA of Dalotia coriaria, 501 nucleotides long. RefSeq lists it as uncharacterized. Lineage: Eukaryota; Metazoa; Arthropoda; Insecta; Coleoptera; Staphylinidae. The record is from RefSeq and is a predicted model, not a curated record. The transcript has 3 exons.